RNAcentral lists this ribosomal RNA (207 nucleotides) under uncultured bacterium. RNAcentral's name for it is "partial 16S ribosomal RNA". It matches the Rfam family "Bacterial small subunit ribosomal RNA", at positions 568 to 774 of the family's 1533-position model. The record is from RNAcentral.
UGCGUAGGUGGCGCCGUAAGUCGGGUGUGAAAUUUCGGAGCUUAACUCCGAAACUGCAUUCGAUACUGCGGUGCUUGAGGACUGGAGAGGAGACUGGAAUUCAUGGUGUAGCAGUGAAAUGCGUAGAGAUCAUGAGGAAGACCAGUGGCGAAGGCGGGUCUCUGGACAGUUCCUGACACUGAGGCACGAAGGCCAGGGGAGCAAACG